UAAAUAGACGGGUUGACAUUUUGUUGGCCCCUUAUGUCUUCUUAGAGGGACUAUCGACCGUCUAGGUGAUGGAGGCAAAAGGCAAUAACAGGUCUGUGAUGCCCUUAGAUGUUCCGGGCUGCACGCGCGCUACACUGACAGAGACAACGAGUGGGGCCCCUUGUCCGAAAUGACUGGGUA
This 180-nucleotide ribosomal RNA is filed under the name Ustilaginaceae sp. Its description in RNAcentral is "partial small subunit ribosomal RNA". It matches the Rfam family "Eukaryotic small subunit ribosomal RNA", at positions 1352 to 1548 of the family's 1831-position model. The record is from RNAcentral. Lineage: Eukaryota; Fungi; Basidiomycota; Ustilaginomycetes; Ustilaginales; Ustilaginaceae.